Molecule: long non-coding RNA, 201 nt
Filed under: Ananas comosus (pineapple)
Lineage: Eukaryota; Viridiplantae; Streptophyta; Magnoliopsida; Poales; Bromeliaceae
Description: long non-coding RNA (ACOM_LNC035001)
Source: RNAcentral
AAAAUGGCUUAUAAGAGAGGCUAGGGGACCCCUCCUCUCACUCACUGCUCUUUUCCCUCUCUCUCACACACACUUUCUCUCUCUCUCUCUCUCUUGAACGAAGGAAAAGAAGGAGAGGACUAAGGAGAGGAAGAAGAAGAAGGAAAAGAAGUAGAGAAGGUAGAAGGAGAAGACUAAGAAGAAGAAGAAGAAGAUCAUCUU